UUGGAGGGCAAGUCUGGUGCCAGCAGCCGCGGUAAUUCCAGCUCCAAUAGCGUAUAUUAAAGUUGUUGCAGUUAAAAAGCUCGUAGUUGAACUUCGGGGUUUACCCAUUGGUCAGGCUUAAUUGUCUGUACUGGUGAGAUAAAUCUCUACCUUCUGAGGAACUUUCAUGUCAUUAAUUUGGUGUGAUUGGAAAUCAGGACUGUUACUUUGAAAAAAUUAGAGUGUUUAAAGCAGGCUAACGUCUGAAUACAUUAGCAUGGAAUAAUGAAAUAGGACGGACUGAUUCUAUUUCGUUGGUUUCUAGGAUCACCGUAAUGAUUAAUAGGGAUAGUUGGGGGCAUUAGUAUUCAAUUGUCAGAGGUGAAAUUCUUGGAUUUAUUGAAGACUAACUACUGCGAAAGCAUUUGCCAAGGAUGUUUUCAUUAAUCAAGAACGAAAGUUAGGGGAUCGAAGACGAUCAGAUACCGUCGUAGUCUUAACCAUAAACUAUGCCGACUAGGGAUCGGACGAAGUUAAUUUUAUAAUGACGCGUUCGGCACCUUACGGGAAAC
This 551-nucleotide ribosomal RNA is filed under the name uncultured Glomeromycotina. Its description in RNAcentral is "SSU rRNA". It matches the Rfam family "Eukaryotic small subunit ribosomal RNA", at positions 548 to 1098 of the family's 1831-position model. Lineage: Eukaryota; Fungi; Glomeromycota. The record is from RNAcentral.